GAUGAACGCUGGCGGCGUGCCUAAUACAUGCAAGUCGAACGAUGAAGCCCAGCUUGUUGGGUGGAUUCGUGGGCAACGGGCGAGUGAGUCACGAGUAACCUGCCUUCCACUCUGGGAUGAGCAUGGGCAAGAGAGUCUAACUAAGACCAGGUGAGCAUUUCGAACGGAGGGUGUUGGAAUGAAUGAUCGGUUUUGGAUGGACUCGCGGCCUAUCAGCUUGUUGGUGAGGUAAUGGCUCACCAAGGCGACGCCGGGUAGCCGGCCUGAGAGGGUGACCGGCCACACUGGGCCUGAGGCACGGCCCAGACGCCUACGUGAGGCAGCAGUGGAAAAUAUUGCGCAAUGGGCGAAAGCCUGAUACAACGACGUCGCGUGAGGAAUGACUGCCUUCAGGGUGUAAACCUCUUUCAAUAGGAAAGAAGCGAAAGUGACGGUACCUGCAGAGAAAGCACCGGCUAACUACGUG
This 466-nucleotide ribosomal RNA is filed under the name uncultured bacterium. Its description in RNAcentral is "partial 16S ribosomal RNA". It matches the Rfam family "Bacterial small subunit ribosomal RNA", at positions 28 to 507 of the family's 1533-position model. The record is from RNAcentral.